This 1316-nucleotide long non-coding RNA is filed under the name Ficedula albicollis (Collared flycatcher). RNAcentral's name for it is "lncRNA (ENSFALG00000024629.1)". Lineage: Eukaryota; Metazoa; Chordata; Aves; Passeriformes; Muscicapidae. The record is from RNAcentral.
AAACGAUCCUCACUUUUAGAAUUCCAAAGGUUUUAUCAAACCUUAAGAAAAAUACAAGAAAAGACUGAAGUGAAAGAGGAGGGAAAGAAAAGAGAGGAGGGAAAGAAAAGAGAGGAGGGAAAGAAAAGAGAGGAGGGAAAGAAAAGAGAGGAGGGAAAGAAAAGAGAGGAGGGAAAGAAAAGAGAGGAGGGAAAGAAAAGAGAGGAGGGAAAGAAAAGAGAGGAGGGAAAGAAAAGAGAGGAGGGAAAGAAAAGAGAGGAGGGAAAGAAAAGAGAGGAGGGAAAGAAAAGAGAGGAGGGAAAGAAAAGAGAGGAGGGAAAGAAAAGAGAGGAGGGAAAGAAAAGAGAGGAGGGAAAGAAAAGAGAGGAGGGAAAGAAAAGAGAGGAGGGAAAGAAAAGAGAGGAGGGAAAGAAAAGAGAGGAGGGAAAGAAAAGAGAGGAGGGAAAGAAAAGAGAGGAGGGAAAGAAAAGAGAGGAGGGAAAGAAAAGAGAGGAGGGAAAGAAAAGAGAGGAGGGAAAGAAAAGAGAGGAGGGAAAGAAAAGAGAGGAGGGAAAGAAAAGAGAGGAGGGAAAGAAAAGAGAGGAGGGAAAGAAAAGAGAGGAGGGAAAGAAAAGAGAGGAGGGAAAGAAAAGAGAGGAGGGAAAGAAAAGAGAGGAGGGAAAGAAAAGAGAGGAGGGAAAGAAAAGAGAGGAGGGAAAGAAAAGAGAGGAGGGAAAGAAAAGAGAGGAGGGAAAGAAAAGAGAGGAGGGAAAGAAAAGAGAGGAGGGAAAGAAAAGAGAGGAGGGAAAGAAAAGAGAGGAGGGAAAGAAAAGAGAGGAGGGAAAGAAAAGAGAGGAGUCAGAGGAGUUGAGUUCUGUGGGCAAGAAGAGGAUGCUGCUCACUCAAGUGUGGCAGGGUGUUAUUCCCAUUUCCACAUGCAUCCUUCAUAAUGUGCUCCAAGUACAGUUGUACAAACUGCUCAAUAUUUCUGAAUUAAGCAAACAAGCCUCUUGUGGCCAGGGAUGUUUGUUAUUCUAAGUAUUUCAGGUUGUUAGGGUAAUUUAUGUGGCCAGGGAUGUUUGUCAUUCUAAGUAUUUCAGGUUGUUAGGGUAAUUUUAUUCAGGUUAGUGUCCACUGCUUGAGACCCUUAAUUUCUUUCAUUGAUGAGCCAGCACUUUUGUGCCAGCCAAGGAGUUCCCCCCAUCAGUGGCUGCCAGGAGCCCCCUGCACUGCAGAAACCAACUCCUUUAACUCCUCUGCUCUGCAGCUCUCGUGGUAAUAAACAUUUAUCACUAAAAAGGUGACUGGGGAAAUCACACCUUAUUAGCAGAGCAAGC